Lynx canadensis (Canada lynx) is the source of this 2131-nucleotide long non-coding RNA. RefSeq lists it as uncharacterized. NCBI's taxonomy places the organism in Eukaryota, Metazoa, Chordata, Mammalia, Carnivora, Felidae. The record is from RefSeq and is a predicted model, not a curated record. The transcript is spliced from 2 exons.
GCUUCCCUCCCUCCCUCCUUCCCCCUCCCCAGUGGCUUACCUCCCUUCACCCCCCACCUCCCCCCUCAGCAGGUCGCCACCACUUGCCUCCUGGUAACACCACCCCGUUUCUGAGUUGAAAUGACCCAGGAAACCAGGUCUACCUCUCUUUCCAACUGCCUGGCUGCAGGGGGAGGGGACAUCAAGCAGACGGGAAGACAGGGAUUUUCCUUGGGUCUCGGGUGAGGGCUGAGGGUCCUAGCCGCACCUCUGUGCCUCCAGUCCAAUCCUCUGCCCUUGGGACUCAGUUUACCAAUUCAGGGCCUCUCAAAUUGCAUUUGGGUUAGCCCUUCAGUGUUUUCAAAGCGCCGGGGUCCUUCCUUCUCUGGGCGCCCCGCAGGUCUGAGAUGGACAAGGUGAGUCCCAGUCCCUCUUUUUCAGGCAUGGUCACGAGGCUCCAUGGAAGCUUCUGCAGUUUGCCGAGGGCCACGUGUCACUGAGGCGCCAGAGCGGGCCAGCGGCCACCGUGCCCCCACCCCCAAGCAGAGCGAGCGAUUUGACACAGAUCGCCUUUUUCUCGUGCGGAGCGGAGGCCAGAUCUGCUCCCGGCCCAGCCUGUCCUAUUUGCCAGCUAACGAGGCAAACUGGGCUCCAUGAAAGAUUAAGCAGCAGCUGCUCCGUUUUCUUGCUGUCCGACUUUGAAAUCGUGACGGGCGCAUCUGCACGGCAGCUCACGCUGUCUGGGCCCGCGGGAUCCAGGAGCCCUUAAAUGCAGCCAGAAUCGUGCGGUUUUUUUCGGGCUGGCUCGUGUGCAGUAUUUUGAGCACCACCAUUCAGGACCGAACCAUCAGCCGUGCAAACGAAGCACCGAAUCCCUGCUCACCCUGUUGGCUCUAGUUCGUAAUACCUUCCGGGGCGGGGGGAGGCGCCACCACAGCUCCUGGCUGGAGUAAGGGCAGAGAUGACAUUAGCAGAUGAUUUGAGCCGGGAGAAAACUAGCAGGCAGCUCAGCCCCGCCCCCAGCCAGCCCCGCCUCCAACCUCUGUGAGCAACUAGCACAGAGGUGCGGUGCCAGCCUGGGGUUUACCCGCGUCCUGUUUUCUGGCCGGUUCGCGCCGGUCCAGGCUGCACUUGGCACUCGAGGGAGGAAGACUCAUUCGCUUCUAUGUUACAGAGCUUUGGGGAUUUUAGAAAAUUUUGCAAGAAAAAUAGUAACAGUAAAACCCCGGAGCCUGUUUCUGAACGAACAGAUGCCUGCUUGCAUUUUUCCUUCGCAUUCAUCUUUAAAUUAACUUAUUCCCACACGCACCGCUCACAAAGCCCCCCCCUCCGUCGCCGCUGCAAUUCUGUGACGUGAGUGAGGGUGGAAGUCUGUGACGGAAGGGGCAUCUUCUGAUGCCCUUUGGUGACUGUGAUUUUGUUUAUGAAGCAGAGCUGCUCAUUAGCUCCCCCAGGCUGCCCAGGGAACGUGUCCCUUCAUCCCCCACGUAGCGUUCAGCUAAGGUGAGGGAGAAGCAUGCUCGUUUUGGGAACCGGUGGUGUUUCGUCCAGCCGUUUCUGGUCCACGUCCUUUCUUCGCCAGCGAACUCCACUGACGGUGUAUUUAUAACACAGUUUCAGAAAUUAGAGAACUUGGAAAAUACAGACGUGUAUAAAGAAUAAAACGUCAACCCUCAAUCCCAAGUAACCACAGGUAACGUUCGGGCGUCUCCCUUUUUUUCUACAAACGUGCAUCCCUUUUGUGUAUUAAAGACAAGGACCACGACGUGCACGCUGUUUUGUGUUUUGUCUUCUUAAUCAACUGCAUAUGUGCGGGGUUGGCCCCUAACCAUUAACACUUAAUGAUUGGAAAAUCUUGAAAGCCUGACUUUAAUGGUUUUAGAGCGUUUUAUCGUAGGAAUGGAUCGCACACCAUCAUCUUGGCUCAGGUGCCCCACGAACAGGUGCUCCUGAGAAAGUGCCGCGUGACCCACCGUGCAAGUAGGGGCCUCUGAGGUCGUGCAUGAGGCCCCAGUAGGAGAGCGCCAACCGGAGCCGUGCUGUGUCUGCACGACGGUCCCAGUUUGCUGCCGCGCUCGGCCCUCCCGGCCUGGUCCGAGGCACCGGCCCGCGGGCCUCCGUGAAAUAAAAUGUGCAGCCUUUUUAUGCCUAC